CUGUCUUCCUACCCAGCGCCGCGGCUCUCGGAGGCUGCCAGUGGCUGGGUGCGCCUGGCCUGAGUCCUCCACCCGAAGAAAAUAAGGAACCUGGCCAGAGAGAGGCAAAAGGAAGAGUCUGCUCCUCAUGUUCCUUCUUGCUGUGGUUUUACCCUCGCCACUUAUUUCGUGGUCAUUCAUUGGAUCCAGCUUGGUGAGGGCGUGGACGGCAGAGCCCUGAGAUGGGAUCACGUG
This 234-nucleotide long non-coding RNA is filed under the name Homo sapiens (human). RNAcentral describes it as "HSALNT0357122". The record is from RNAcentral. Lineage: Eukaryota; Metazoa; Chordata; Mammalia; Primates; Hominidae.